UGGGGAAUAUUGCACAAUGGGCGCAAGCCUGAUGCAGCCAUGCCGCGUGUAUGAAGAAGGCCUUCGGGUUGUAAAGUACUUUCAGCGGGGAGGAAGGGAGUAAAGUUAAUACCUUUGCUCAUUGACGUUACCCGCAGAAGAAGCACCGGCUAACUCCGUGCCAGCAGCCGCGGUAAUACGGAGGGUGCAAGCGUUAAUCGGAAUUACUGGGCGUAAAGCGCACGCAGGCGGUUUGUUAAGUCAGAUGUGAAAUCCCCGGGCUCAACCUGGGAACUGAAUCUGAUACUGGCAAGCUUGAGUCUCGUAGAGGGGGGUAGAAUUCCAGGUGUAGCGGUGAAAUGCGUAGAGAUCUGGAGGAAUACCGGUGGCGAAGGCGGCCCCCUGGACAAAGACUGACGCUCAGGUGCGAAAGCGUGGGGAGCAAACAGG
RNAcentral lists this ribosomal RNA (429 nucleotides) under Chloroflexota bacterium. RNAcentral describes it as "Chloroflexi bacterium partial 16S ribosomal RNA". It matches the Rfam family "Bacterial small subunit ribosomal RNA", at positions 355 to 776 of the family's 1533-position model. Lineage: Bacteria; Bacillati; Chloroflexota. The record is from RNAcentral.